GGCGAGGAGGGAAGCCUGCCGCACCAUACCUCAAUUUGCAUCGUCUUACAUUUACAGCUAAUAGGUGAUGACAAGAUAUGACCAUUGUAGUCACCCUACUUUUGCUGAUAAAAGAUUUUAUUUACAACAUAUGAUUUGAUAGACUUUUUCAACUAUGAGCAGUCGUCCAUGAUUGGAAAAACUUUGCUACUAUGAGCAGUCAUUUAAGAUGUAGCUUCCCAUUCUUCUUGUCAUACUCCUGUU
RNAcentral lists this unclassified non-coding RNA (243 nucleotides) under Hevea brasiliensis (rubber tree). The record is from RNAcentral. Lineage: Eukaryota; Viridiplantae; Streptophyta; Magnoliopsida; Malpighiales; Euphorbiaceae.